AUCAAUCAAAUAUAAAAUUUUCCUUUAUAAAAUUUGACAGCUGUGAAUUCUUCUACCCAGUGGCACUUGCCUUUCCUACUGCCUCCAGGGAUGGUCCAUCUCCUCUCUCAAAUGUUUCAACUUGCCACUUCAAAGUUCACCAUGGAUGAUGAUAUUGCUGCCCUCAUAGUAGACAAUGGCUCCAGCAUUUACAAAGCUGACUUUAGAGGAGAUUGCACCUCUUGACUGUCUUUCCUUCCAUUGUUAGGCACCCCAGAUGUCAGGGAGUGAUGGUAGUUACAAACCAGAAAGACAGCUAUGUGGAGGAUGAGGUCCAAGAGAGCAUCAUAUUAUCACAUGAUCAGUCAAUUAUUUAUCAAGCUCAGGAAGAAGGAAGCUGUGGUUUAUUGUUUAGCCAUCAGCUAGAUCUCCAGCUAUUGAUCAUUAGGUUGAACAAGAUCAAUAGUCCAAAGAAGUGAAGGAGACUACAGGUGCACUGCUACAGAAAGAAACAUGGCUAUGUAAGAGAGAAGUUACAAAAGGAGAGAAAAAAUCAAUUCCAGCAAUGCAAAGGAACAGCCCAAGUGGAGAAAGAAGAAGGAAGACUCAAGAUUCCAGGAAGGAAUAGAGGAUCUGAGAAAAUUCCAAACUGCCAGCUUACUUCUGGCCCUUCUUCCAUCCCCCAUACCACAGAAGGCAUCACCCAGCAAACUAAACAGAUUUUGUCUUUCAUGUUUCCAGUUCUCAGUUCAUUCUCUGUAAAUGAACAUUCACAAAUGAUUCUUCAAACAUUAAAUUGGUAUCUGCAUAUACUGUUUUCUUAGUUCCAUUCAUUUCAGUUUCAUAAUAUUAUUCUAAGGAAAUAGUAAAGACUGGGCAUUUGCUGUUAUCUAGAGCCACUUUUCAAAGAUUCCAGGACUAAGCUAGCCUUCUUUGUGCUGAGAAUAUUCAUAUAGGUAGUCUAAUC
This 946-nucleotide long non-coding RNA is filed under the name Monodelphis domestica (gray short-tailed opossum). RNAcentral's name for it is "lncRNA (ENSMODG00000034631.2)". Lineage: Eukaryota; Metazoa; Chordata; Mammalia; Didelphimorphia; Didelphidae. The record is from RNAcentral.